GGCUAAAAUCCCGCCAGUGCAGGUUAUUUUACUCAAAGCGUGGCUAUCAGGGAUCAUUUCUCAUUUCAACUUCUUACCGAGUUCCAACAAAAGAUCAUCAUGAUUGCAUUCAUUCUGAUGAGCGUGGAUUGCCAUAAAAUGAAAUUUCAGGACCCAGGAACUUGAACUUUGAACUUUACAAUGGCGUGAGCUGAUUGAUAUUCUCAAAUCCCAAGUUAUGGACACUUGAGGCUGAAAUAGGUUUAAAGAGGUAAUU
This is a long non-coding RNA of Cotesia glomerata, 256 nucleotides long. RefSeq lists it as uncharacterized. The record is from RefSeq and is a predicted model, not a curated record. Lineage: Eukaryota; Metazoa; Arthropoda; Insecta; Hymenoptera; Braconidae. The transcript is spliced from 3 exons.